This 460-nucleotide ribosomal RNA is filed under the name Veillonella parvula. RNAcentral describes it as "bacterial SSU rRNA". It matches the Rfam family "Bacterial small subunit ribosomal RNA", at positions 28 to 465 of the family's 1533-position model. Lineage: Bacteria; Bacillati; Bacillota; Negativicutes; Veillonellales; Veillonellaceae. The record is from RNAcentral.
GACGAACGCUGGCGACGUGCUUAACACAUGCAAGUCGAACGAAGAGCGAUGGAAGCUUGCUUCUAUCAAUCUUAGUGGCGAACGGGUGAGUAACGCGUAAUCAACCUGCCCUUCAGAGGGGGACAACAGUUGGAAACGACUGCUAAUACCGCAUACGAUCUAAACUCGGCAUCGAGGAUAGAUGAAAGGUGGCCUCUACAUGUAAGCUAUCACUGAAGGAGGGGAUUGCGUCUGAUUAGCUAGUUGGAGGGGUAACGGCCCACCAAGGCGAUGAUCAGUAGCCGGUCUGAGAGGAUGAACGGCCACAUUGGGACUGAGACACGGCCCAGACUCCUACGGGAGGCAGCAGUGGGGAAUCUUCCGCAAUGGACGAAAGUCUGACGGAGCAACGCCGCGUGAGUGAUGACGGCCUUCGGGUUGUAAAGCUCUGUUAAUCGGGACGAAAGACCUUCUUGCGAAU